RNAcentral lists this ribosomal RNA (253 nucleotides) under uncultured bacterium. RNAcentral describes it as "partial 16S ribosomal RNA". It matches the Rfam family "Bacterial small subunit ribosomal RNA", at positions 524 to 776 of the family's 1533-position model. The record is from RNAcentral.
UACGAAGGGGGCGAGCGUUGUUCGGAUUUACUGGGCGUAAAGCGUGCGCAGGCGGCUUUGCAAGACAGAUGUGAAAUCCCCGGGCUUAACCUGGGAACUGCAUUUGUGACUGCAUGGCUGGAGUGCGGCAGAGGGGGAUGGAAUUCCGCGUGUAGCAGUGAAAUGCGUAGAUAUGCGGAGGAACACCGAUGGCGAAGGCAAUCCCCUGGGCCUGCACUGACGCUCAUGCACGAAAGCGUGGGGAGCAAACAGG